This 465-nucleotide ribosomal RNA is filed under the name uncultured bacterium. RNAcentral's name for it is "bacterial SSU rRNA". It matches the Rfam family "Bacterial small subunit ribosomal RNA", at positions 338 to 795 of the family's 1533-position model. The record is from RNAcentral.
CCUACGGGGGGCAGCAGUAGGGAAUCUUCCGCAAUGGACGAAAGUCUGACGGAGCAACGCCGCGUGAGCGAAGAAGGUCUUCGGAUCGUAAAGCUCUGUUGUUAGGGUAGAACAAGUACGGGAGGUAAUGACCGUACCUUGACGGUACCUGACGAGGAAGCUACGGCUAACUACGUGCCAGCAGUCGCGGUAAUCCGUAGGUGGCAAGCGUUGUCCGGAAUUAUUGUGCGUAAAGCGCGCGCAGGCGGUCUUUUAAGUACGAUGCUAAAUCUUGCGGAUCAUCCGCAAGCAGUCAUUGGAAACUGGGAGAUGUGAGUCCAGAAAAGGCAAGCGGAAGUCCACGUGCAGCGGUUAAAUGCGUAGGGAUGUGGAGGAACACCAGUGGCGAAGGCGGCUUUCUGGUCUGUAACUGACGCUGAAGCGCGAAAGCGUGGGGAGCAAACAGGAUUAGAUACCCGUGUAGUC